CCUACGUGAGGCAGCAGUGGGGAAUAUUGCACAAUGGGGGAAACCCUGAUGCAGCGACGCCGCGUGAGUGAAGAAGUAAUUCGUUAUGUAAAGCUCUAUCAGCAGGGAAGAAAAUGACGGUACCUGAGUAAGAAGCCCCGGCUAACUACGUGCCAGCAGCCGCGGUAAUACGUAGGGGGCAAGCGUUAUCCGGAUUUACUGGGUGUAAAGGGAGCGUAGACGGCAGUGCAAGUCUGGAGUGAAAGGCGGGGGCUCAACCCCCGGACUGCUCUGGAAACUGUACGGCUGGAGUGCAGGAGAGGUAAGUGGAAUUCCUAGUGUAGCGGUGAAAUGCGUAGAUAUUAGGAAGAACACCAGUGGCGAAGGCGGCUUACUGGACUGUAACUGACGUUGAGGCUCGAAAGCGUGGGGAGCAAACAGGAUUAGAUACCCCAGUAGUC
Molecule: ribosomal RNA, 440 nt
Filed under: uncultured bacterium
Lineage: Bacteria
Description: partial 16S ribosomal RNA
Rfam family: Bacterial small subunit ribosomal RNA
Source: RNAcentral